Molecule: ribosomal RNA, 269 nt
Filed under: Pycnococcus provasolii
Lineage: Eukaryota; Viridiplantae; Chlorophyta; Pseudoscourfieldiophyceae; Pseudoscourfieldiales; Pycnococcaceae
Description: partial Bacterial large subunit ribosomal RNA
Rfam family: Bacterial large subunit ribosomal RNA
Source: RNAcentral
CGAAACCGAGUGAUCUAGCCAUGAGCAGGUUGAAGGUGCAGUAACAUGCACUGGAGGUCCGAACCGAUUAACGUUGAAAAGUUACCGGAUGAGUUGUGUUUAGGGGUGAAAGGCCAAUCAAGCCGGGAAAUAGCUGGUUCUCCGCGAAAACUAUUUAGGUAGUGCGUCAGACGAAUACCACCGGGGGUAGAGCACUGGAUGGGUAAUGGGGACCCACAGUCUUACUGAUCCUAACCAAACUCCGAAUACCGGUGAGUACUAUCUGGCAG